UACGAAGGGUGCAAGCGUUACUCGGAAUUACUGGGCGUAAAGCGUGCGUAGGUGGUUUGUUAAGUCUGUUGUGAAAGCCCCGGGCUCAACCUGGGAAUGGCAAUGGAUACUGGCAGGCUAGAGUGCGGUAGAGGGUAGUGGAAUUCCCGGUGUAGCGGUGAAAUGCGUAGAGAUCGGGAGGAACACCAGUGGCGAAGGCGGCUACCUGGACCAGCCACUGACACUGAGGCACGAAAGCGUGGGGAGCAAACAGG
Molecule: ribosomal RNA, 254 nt
Filed under: uncultured bacterium
Lineage: Bacteria
Description: partial 16S ribosomal RNA
Rfam family: Bacterial small subunit ribosomal RNA
Source: RNAcentral